Long non-coding RNA from Alosa sapidissima (American shad), 127 nucleotides. RefSeq lists it as uncharacterized. The transcript has 3 exons. NCBI's taxonomy places the organism in Eukaryota, Metazoa, Chordata, Actinopteri, Clupeiformes, Clupeidae. The record is from RefSeq and is a predicted model, not a curated record.
CCAGUCAGAACUAGUCUGCUGGAGAUUUGGGUAUGCAGUCGUCAUCGUCUAAUCUCAGUGGAUUCUUUGUUUUAUUUGUGAAUGCAGAGAAAUAAAAACAGUGAGAAGAGUUCGUGUGGAGUCAUAC